RNAcentral lists this ribosomal RNA (470 nucleotides) under uncultured bacterium. RNAcentral's name for it is "partial 16S ribosomal RNA". It matches the Rfam family "Bacterial small subunit ribosomal RNA", at positions 28 to 507 of the family's 1533-position model. The record is from RNAcentral.
GACGAACGCUGGCGGCGUGCUUAACACAUGCAAGUCGAACGAGAUCCAAUGUGUAGCAAUACACAGGAAGAUCUAGUGGCGAACGGGUGAGGAACACGUGAGAAACGUACCCCAGACUUUGGGAUAACAGUCCGAAAGGACUGCUAAUACCAAAUAACGUCGGAAGUCCGCAUGGACAUCUGACGAAAGGGAUUCCGGUUUGGGAGCGUCUUGCGGACCUAUCAGCUAGUUGGAGGGGUAACGGCCCACCAAGGCAACGACGGGUAGCUGGUCUGAGAGGAUGGUCAGCCACACUGGGACUGAGACACGGCCCAGACUCCUACGGGAGGCAGCAGUGGGGAAUCUUGCGCAAUGGGCGAAAGCCUGACGCAGCAACGCCGCGUGCGGGAAGAAGGCUUUCGGGCUGUAAACCGCUUUCAGUAGGAACGAAACUGACGGUACCUACAGAAGAAGGAGCGGCCAACUAUGUG